Molecule: ribosomal RNA, 465 nt
Filed under: Vreelandella stevensii
Lineage: Bacteria; Pseudomonadati; Pseudomonadota; Gammaproteobacteria; Oceanospirillales; Halomonadaceae
Description: partial 16S ribosomal RNA
Rfam family: Bacterial small subunit ribosomal RNA
Source: RNAcentral
CCUACGGGAGGCAGCAGUGGGGAAUAUUGGACAAUGGGGGCAACCCUGAUCCAGCCAUGCCGCGUGUGUGAAGAAGGCCCUCGGGUUGUAAAGCACUUUCAGUGAGGAAGAACGCCUGGUGGUUAAUACCCAUCAGGAAAGACAUCACUCACAGAAGAAGCACCGGCUAACUCCGUGCCAGCAGCCGCGGUAAUACGGAGGGUGCGAGCGUUAAUCGGAAUUACUGGGCGUAAAGCGCGCGUAGGUGGCUUGAUAAGCCGGUUGUGAAAGCCCCGGGCUCAACCUGGGAACGGCAGCCGGAACUGUCAAGCUAGAGUGCAGGAGAGGAAGGUAGAAUUCCCGGUGUAGCGGUGAAAUGCGUAGAGAUCGGGAGGAAUACCAGUGGCGAAGGCGGCCUUCUGGACUGACACUGACACUGAGGUGCGAAAGCGUGGGUAGCAAACAGGAUUAGAUACCCGUGUAGUC